UGUGAGAGCUCACCCACCUCCUUACCAAAGUUGGGCAAAAGCUGCUCAUGUUUUGGGAAGGAGGCGGGAGAGCUCUCGCA
Non-coding RNA from Podarcis lilfordi (Lilford's wall lizard), 80 nucleotides. The record is from the annotation of a GenBank genome assembly. NCBI's taxonomy places the organism in Eukaryota, Metazoa, Chordata, Lepidosauria, Squamata, Lacertidae.